UGGCUCAGUCGUGGAGCACGAAACUCUUGAUCUUGGGGCUGUGGGUUCGAACCCCAC
Molecule: transfer RNA, 57 nt
Filed under: Ailuropoda melanoleuca (giant panda)
Lineage: Eukaryota; Metazoa; Chordata; Mammalia; Carnivora; Ursidae
Rfam family: tRNA
About the family: Transfer RNA (tRNA) molecules are approximately 80 nucleotides in length. Their secondary structure includes four short double-helical elements and three loops (D, anti-codon, and T loops). Further hydrogen bonds mediate the characteristic L-shaped molecular structure. tRNAs have two regions of fundamental functional importance: the anti-codon, which is responsible for specific mRNA codon recognition, and the 3' end, to which the tRNAs corresponding amino acid is attached (by aminoacyl-tRNA synthetases). tRNAs cope with the degeneracy of the genetic code in two manners: having more than one tRNA (with a specific anti-codon) for a particular amino acid; and 'wobble' base-pairing, i.e. permitting non-standard base-pairing at the 3rd anti-codon position.
Source: Rfam by way of RNAcentral